CACAGGGUAUCUGUCUGUUUGCUCCCCACGUUUCGUCAUGAGCGUCAGUGUUAUCAGGAGGCUGCCUUCGCCAUCGGUCAUUCCUCCGCAUAUCUACAUUCUGCUACAUGGUCCGCCUCCCUCUGACACUACUCUAAUCAGUAGUUAAAAUACGGUUUCAAAGUCAAGCUCUGGGAUUUCCCGUCUUCUUUCCGAACCGCCUACGCACCGCUUCCUUAGUAAAUUCCGAUUAACGCUUGCACCCUACGGCAUUCACCGCAGCUGCUGGCACGUGGUUAAUACGGUGCUUAUUCUGCAGGUACCGUCGUUGCACAAAGAUACCAUAUCCGUGCCGUUUCUCCUGCCAGUCUUUACAACCCGAAGGCCAACCAUCGCACACACGCGGGAUGGCUGGAUCAGGGUUUCCCCAUUGUCAAAUUCCCCACUACUUUGCCUCCGUA
RNAcentral lists this unclassified non-coding RNA (440 nucleotides) under uncultured Bordetella sp. RNAcentral describes it as "partial 16S-23S ribosomal RNA intergenic spacer". The record is from RNAcentral. Lineage: Bacteria; Pseudomonadati; Pseudomonadota; Betaproteobacteria; Burkholderiales; Alcaligenaceae.